This 465-nucleotide ribosomal RNA is filed under the name uncultured Klebsiella sp. Its description in RNAcentral is "bacterial SSU rRNA". It matches the Rfam family "Bacterial small subunit ribosomal RNA", at positions 338 to 795 of the family's 1533-position model. Lineage: Bacteria; Pseudomonadati; Pseudomonadota; Gammaproteobacteria; Enterobacterales; Enterobacteriaceae. The record is from RNAcentral.
CCUACGGGUGGCUGCAGUGGGGAAUAUUGCACAAUGGGCGCAAGCCUGAUGCAGCCAUGCCGCGUGUGUGAAGAAGGCCCUCGGGUUGUAAAGCACUUUCAGCGGGGAGGAAGGCGUUAAGGUUAAUAACCUUGGCGAUUGACGUUACCCGCAGAAGAAGCACCGGCUAACUCCGUGCCAGCAGCCGCGGUAAUACGGAGGGUGCAAGCGUUAAUCGGAAUUACUGGGCGUAAAGCGCACGCAGGCGGUCUGUCAAGUCGGAUGUGAAAUCCCCGGGCUCAACCUGGGAACUGCAUUCGAAACUGGCAGGCUAGAGUCUUGUAGAGGGGGGUAGAAUUCCAGGUGUAGCGGUGAAAUGCGUAGAGAUCUGGAGGAAUACCGGUGGCGAAGGCGGCCCCCUGGACAAAGACUGACGCUCAGGUGCGAAAGCGUGGGGAGCAAACAGGAUUAGAUACCCUUGUAGUC